This is a long non-coding RNA of Acinonyx jubatus (cheetah), 6100 nucleotides long. RefSeq lists it as uncharacterized. The transcript is spliced from 10 exons. Lineage: Eukaryota; Metazoa; Chordata; Mammalia; Carnivora; Felidae. The record is from RefSeq and is a predicted model, not a curated record.
AAAAUUCUAAGCUAUUUGCCUCAAAUUAAAGCUAGUAAUGUAACAUUCUAUGUCAACUACACUAAAAAAAGAAAAAAAAAUGAAAGAGGUAAACGCUAGAAUAAAGUAUAGAUAAUUUGGCUCAAUAAUGUCACCUAAACAAAUCCUUAGAAAUAUUCUACACUGAUUCAAAGGAAUGUGGUAAGUGCUCAGAGAGUAUUUUUCAAUGUAUAACAAAAACUUAAAGGCUAAUAAUUUGAGCUUGUGCUAAAUAAUUUACACAAAAUCGUCUGUUUUAAUUCUCUGAGCAAUGUCAUGACACAGAAGCUGUUGUAAUUCUAUCUGACAAUGAGGUGUUAAGUGGCUAGACCAAGGUCACACAACUAACUUGUUUAAAGAUUAGAACUUAAAUGCCUAUCUUCAUCAUUGAUCUUCCCUCCAAAAUUUUCAAGAGGAUGAAAUACAGAAUGAUUGUGAAGGUUCUUUGUGAAUGCAGAACAACUUCUGGUAGAAAAUUCUGGUAAGAUAGUGUCAUAGUCUGUGGUAUGGAGGAAGUAUCACCUCAGCACUUCAUGACUCUUAAUGUCAUCGUCUUUGCCAUAAGAACUUACAACUCGUUCCACUGAAUCAAAGUCUGCUUAACCACACCUCUAUCUGAGCUUGCCUUCAUGACUUGUUUGUCCAAUGAGACAAUUAACAAUAUGACAUGAACAAAGGCUUGAAAAUCUCUUGUUUAUCAGGACUUUCUUCUUACUGCUCUUGGGAAUCCUGCAACCAUCACCACGUGAAUAAAUCUGGGCGAGGCUGUGGGAUAAUUAGAGACAUGUGGCCUGUCACCCCACUAACACUGAACCCACAACCAGACUUGUGAGGAAUGCCAUCCUGACCACCCAUCCCCAGCUGAGCUGCUAAGUGGGCCUAGGAUGGAACUGCUCAGCCCAACUCACAGCAUUGUCAGGAAUAAUAAAUUUUGUGUGUGAGCCAAAAUGUUUUGGGGUGAUAGUUACACAGCAAGAAUUAACUGACACAAUUCCCACCUUUGGUUUAUUCUUUUGGUUUGUACCAUUAGAUGCAUGUUCCACAUGGUGGUUGUGGUGGUAGUGGGGGCAGUUGUCUAGUGAAAAUAAGAUGAGAAAUUGAGAUCAAUGUGGCCCAUACUAUGUAAUAGCCUGAUUUGCUUGUAUUUAGAGUGAGAGAAAUGUGAAAUCAACUGUGGCUAAACACAUUAUACCCUUAAUUACAAAUAAUUACGUCGUAGAUGGGGCAGCUGGGUGGCUCAGUCUGUUAAGCAUCUGUCUUUGACUCAGGUCAUGAUCUCACAGUUCAUGAGUUUGAGCCCUACAUUGGACUCUCUGCCCACUUCAGAUCCUCUGUCCCCGUCUCUCUGCCCCUCGCCCUCCUCUCUCUCAAAAAUAAAUAAACAUUUUUUAAAAAAUCACAUUGUGGAUGAAAUGUUUUUGGUGAUUGUAUUUUACUAAAAAGGAUGUUAUAAAGGAUCAUUUUUUUCUAUUAUCCAAACACACUAGCUGGAUUAUUUUGGAAGACAUCUUGGAAAGAACAUUAAUUUUCAUGCUAAACUUGUUCGGUAAUGUUAGCCUCUUUGGAAAAUGGAUGCUAAGGAGCACUUCUACAAUGUUCCCUUAGGAUCAUUUCGUCUAAUCCUCUUCUACCCCUAAGACAUCUUCUAUAAACGCAAGUAUUGGUUGUUACUUAAAACUGUAGAUAGAAUCUAUUUCCUCUAUAGCAAACAUUGCCAAGAUGAUUUUGGUAAGCUCACAAUUCAAACAUACGGCUAACUGUCAUCAGUCAUAAAUAAACUGGAUAUUUUUCAUCAUAAAGCAAACAGAAGCCCAUGUAAAAUAUAUACUACUUAAUGAGUUAUAGAGUUCAUAUUUGUCAUCAUAUGGGGAGGCUCCUUCAAAAUCAAUGCCAGGGUUCUUUCUUCUUAGACAACCCAGUCCAGUCAUUUGUCUUUGGCCCAAUAGCUUAUGCCAGGCACAUGGAAAUAACAGAGUGUUCAGAUUCCAAAGAAUUCUGUUUGAUUUUUAGUAUUACAAUUAACAAGCCAUGUUUUGUGGGAUAAUGAGACUACUUAAUAUCUUUGCAAAUAAAUGUUCUUAUCUCUAAAAUAGCUUGUAUUUAUUGAGUAUUUACUAUGUGCGAGGCACUGAGCAGUAUGCUUUAUAUGAGAUAUCUCAUUAAUUCUCACAGAAACCCUAUGAGGUAGACUUUUCAUUAUUUUCAUUUUUACCCACAAGGAAAUUAAGGUUUGGAGAGUUUAAGUAUCUUGUCUAAAGUGAUAAAGACUGUGAUUUGUAGAGCCAGGGUUCUAGAAAGUUCUGACUCCAGAGCUCAAAAUUGUUAUUACUCGGCCAUAAUCAUUCUCUCCCCAUGCUACCUCCAUCUAAAUUCUCUUGGGAAUUUUCCUCCUUUUCACUAUGAAAGCAUUAUAAUAAGGAUAAAAUGAGAAUGCAUAUGUAAGAGUUUAAGUACUUGAAAGCACUAUACAUAUUAAUAUUCAUUCAACAAGUAAUUAUAAGCAGCUACCAUGCAAAUAACAAUUGCCAAACUGGAUUUCAACCAACCUGGCAUAUGGAUACAAACAGUUACUCCAAGGAAUGUGCACUAAAAGUCAGAAUUGUCCUCCAUGGCACCAAUGUUCAAAAUUUUGCAGUGUACCCAAAUAUUUUUGUUGCCUUUAAUAACUCUGUUGAUUGUCUGUGAACAUAUAUAAAUAUUUUUGAAUUAGUAUGUGUAUCUUCAUUCCUUACCUCUGGGGUAACGAGUUCCAUAUGUUUAUUCUCAACUCAUUUGUCUUUUUGUUUGUUGCUUAAAGUCUCUCAAAUUUCAAAGGAUGUUUCUAGUAUUCUGAGAUCUCGUGAAUGAGUUAGAGCCAACUUACUCAAAUCCUUCAUGAUUGUAUAGAUUUCAAUCAUAUCUUACUCGUUCUCUGUUUUCCCAUCUCCCCAAUCUGAAGAGUCAGAAUAUUUUUGAAACUCUUUUUAGAAACAUUAGGUGUUGUCUCUGUGAUGCCAAACAUCUGGCUGAAAAUGGAAUAAAAAAGGGAAGCAUCAGGAUGCAUUCACAUAUCCAGCUGUUUGGCAUUAGAUGAGGCUACUGCAACUUGGAGGGUUUACAUAACUUUUCCAACAUCACAGAGCUGUAGUUGGAACAGAGAAGAGUGGUGGAAAAAAUGACUGAUCUCAGAACACACAGAUGUAUGGGCGUGAUGACCGCAAAAGAACUUGAAUCUUAACAGAGUCUAUCCAUCACUCAAAUUUGAGAAACACUAAAAUAAUGGAAAAGAAUACAGGCUUUGGAAUUAGACGGAAUUAGGUUCAAGACUCAAUUCUUCUACUCCCUGGCUGUGUCACCUUGAAGAGAGAGAGAUUGAGCACAAGCAGGAGUGGAGCAGAGAGAGAGAGGGAGUCACAGAGUCCGAAGCAGCUCCAGGCUCUGAGCUGUCAGCACAGAGCCCCACACGGGGCUUGAACUCACCAACCAUGAGAUCAUGACUUGAGCCGAGGUCAGACGCUUAACCAACUGAGCCACCCAGGCAACCCCCUAACCUGAGUUUUCAAAGGGUGUAUCCCACAAAGUGUGUCUGUUCAGUUAUGCCCCACUGGAUAUGUCUCUGAGGAAGAGGAAAUUGGAGGAGUGAGGGGCCUGGCACAGUAUAAACACUCACACCAUGUUCUACACGCGAUGGAGUGGGAAACAAGCUGGCACCAAGAAUAACGGACUCUCGUAUGGUGGGCAUGGAAACUGAUAUCCUUCUACGAAGUCUCCGAAGCUCAGAUCGCUUAUUCCUAGGGACUCCAUUCAUUUCCAUCUCCAAAGCUCCCACUCGCCACAUGCCCCAAGGACUCUGUGAAAUGAUCCUCUGAAUGAUCUCCUGAGAGAUGGAAGAGAUGAUGAUGUAAAAGGCUGAACCAAAAAUAACAGCAGGUCUUAUAUAUACCAUUCCUCUGCUGCACUGGUAAAUUACAGCUGUGGUCUCCACGUGGUAAUUAAAAGGUAAGGAGUCCAGAAGACAGAAGGUGAAGGAGAGGUCCUGCCCUGGGAACAACAAUCUAAGCUUCUGACUAUUGGUUCAUAUGACACAACUCCCCCAAGUGGGUGGAUAAGACUUCUAGUAAGCCAUCUCCAUGGAGAAGCUUCACAGACCAUUUCCCCGGUAACUGUAGGUAUCCCCCUGACAUCUACUCAUCUGCCUGAGGAACUAACUAUACACCUGCUUGGACAUAAUGAGUCCUUCAUGAUGAGGAAGAGGGGUUGUGGGUAGAGUAAGAGAAGGCAGUGGCUCCGUCUUUGUUCAGUAUGGUGACAAAGGGUCCUGGAGAGGUCAUUGGUCCCUCUUCUGAACAGUCAGUUUCUCCACUUUUGUUCUCCAGACAAAUGGAGCUGUGAAGAGGAGAAAAUAAACAGUUUACAUGUCAAGCCUGUGUACCUUUACUCUGCCUUUUGCCCAGCGUCAAAAUUGCUAAGAGCAAAAGGUUUUCUUUUUUUCUUUUUCUUCUUUUCUUUUUUUUGGAAUGUUAUGCGAAAACAAUUUAGGUUUUUAUAUUUAAACUAAAAAGACAAUUUCAUUAUCAUUAACCAAGCAUUACAUUGAUCAAUGUCUGAAAAAAAGUUUUCUAGGAAGGACUAGUGUCUUCUGAAAUAUUAGUAAAUUCUUCAUUUAAAAAAUUCUGUGGUCUAGUCAGUUUGGAAAUCAUGUUAAACAAACUUAAGUGGAUUUGUUUUCUGUAGAAAUUCUCACAAACAUUAAUGCACUAUUAAUUUGCUGUCCUAGCCAAUUAAUUAUCCCAGCUAACAGUACUAUCAGACAGAGAAAGGGGAGAGACAGGAGAGGAAAACAAAAACAUAAUAAAUUGCUUUAGGGAGGCAAUCAACCACAUCUGCUGAAAUGUUAUCAGCAUGCAUUAUGGACCCCGUAUGGCCAGGAAAAAGUGAUAAAUAAUAGUGCAUGAAACAUCAGUUUAUCUUUUUUAUCUCAGUUAUAUAGUUUGGCAAGAGACAUACAAGACAAAACCCUGGUGUCAAAUCUUGUGGAUCACUGUCAUGUGAGUUUGUGCAAAUUAUUUAACUUCUCAAAGCCUUGAUUUUCUCAGCCAUAAAAGUGAGCUAAUACCUAGCCCUUGGGUUAUUGUAAAGAUUGCAUGAAAUUAUGAAUGCAGCACUGGGUACAGAAAUGAUCAAUUGUUUCCUUCUUUCUCUCCUGGACCUUCAUGUUUUCCUCAGCUUCAAUCAGCCAUUUGAGCAUAAAGUGCCUCAGACAAGAAUGAGGGCCACUCUCCUGCUAUGAUGACAAUGGUCUCCUGCAGAAAACAGUCAGUGUCCAAGAGUGAUUGUCCCUAUAAUAACUUCUGCCAUUCAUUCCAUUUAUCCAUUCACCAAGGCAGCCAACACAUUCCUAUGAGGUACCUACUAUGGAUCAGGCUGUAAGGAUAGAGAGGGGCGUGUUUCAUUCCCUGACUGAGCUUACUGUCAAUAAGUGAAAACUACCAUUUAAAUAAGCAAGAGCAGACAAGUAUGACAGCAGAUCUGAUGGGAAAUAUUCCGGCUGCUAAUUGUGCACCUGGGAAUCUGAGAGAGGCAGAAAUUUAGUACAGCCACUCUUCCUCUGAUACACAGUGAAGGAGCCCACAUAAAAAUCACAUCCCCAGUGAAACAGGAAGUGAAGACCAGAGUGAAGAAAAGAGUGGGAGGGACUGUGCCUUCAGGUCUCACUUGACCUCCAUAGCAACUCACAAAGGUGGUAAAGCAGAGUAAGGAAUUUUUCACAAGGGCAAAGCGCCAGUUCCCAGUGGAGCCAAGGCUAUUGUCCAGGGUUUCCGAGCCCUGGGCCAGACUCUUUACCAUUGUAUGGUAUCAAGGUGCCAAAAGUAGGAUAAGCCUAGAGGAAUUUCCUUCAAACCCCCAAUGAAGGAGAAGGACGACCCCAUUAGUUUCUUCAUAAAUAAUGCUUCCUUAGAAUUCUGGGCUUUUCCUUUUCACUUCUCAUGCCAUUCCCAAAAUUUCACUUUGUUCUUACCAGCAUCAUAACAUAUCUGAUUAUACUUCCACAAGGCCAAGGACUAUGUCAUUUUUCUCCAUAUAUUUUCAGUACCUAGCUUGU